RNAcentral lists this ribosomal RNA (728 nucleotides) under uncultured bacterium. RNAcentral describes it as "bacterial SSU rRNA". It matches the Rfam family "Bacterial small subunit ribosomal RNA", at positions 773 to 1501 of the family's 1533-position model. The record is from RNAcentral.
CAGGAUUAGAUACCCUGGUAGUCCACGCCGUAAACGAUGUCGACUUGGAGGUCGUGCCCUUGAGGCGUGGCUUCCGGAGCUAACGCGUUAAGUCGACCGCCUGGGGAGUACGGCCGCAAGGUUAAAACUCAAAUGAAUUGACGGGGGCCCGCACAAGCGGUGGAGCAUGUGGUUUAAUUCGAUGCAACGCGAAGAACCUUACCUGGUCUUGACAUCCACAGAACUUUCCAGAGAUGAGAAUGUGCCUUCGGGAACCGUGAGACAGGUGCUGCAUGGCUGUCGUCAGCUCGUGUUGUGAAAUGUUGGGUUAAGUCCCGCAACGAGCGCAACCCUUAUCCUUUGUUGCCAGCGGUCCGGCCGGGAACUCAAAGGAGACUGCCAGUGAUAAACUGGAGGAAGGUGGGGAUGACGUCAAGUCAUCAUGGCCCUUACGACCAGGGCUACACACGUGCUACAAUGGCGCAUACAAAGAGAAGCGACCUCGCGAGAGCAAGGGGACCUCAUAAAGUGCGUCGUAGUCCGGAUUGGAGUCUGCAACUCGACUCCAUGAAGUCGGAAUCGCUAGUAAUCGUGGAUCAGAAUGCCACGGUGAAUACGUUCCCGGGCCUUGUACACACCGCCCGUCACACCAUGGGAGUGGGUUGCAAAAGAAGUAGGUAGCUUAACCUUCGGGAGGGCGCUUACCACUUUGUGAUUCAUGACUGGGGUGAAGUCGUAACAAGGUAACC